Long non-coding RNA from Sus scrofa (pig), 1394 nucleotides. RefSeq lists it as uncharacterized. The record is from RefSeq and is a predicted model, not a curated record. Lineage: Eukaryota; Metazoa; Chordata; Mammalia; Artiodactyla; Suidae.
GCUUGCAACUGAGCAGGGAGGAGAGUGUGGACAGGGCCACCUCCGGGAAACUUGCACCUGUUUCCCUAGCUAAGGGAAGACUCCAUUAGGUCCCGGCUGAAUGGGGAAGCCUCAAUUUCACAACCAAAUUGCAGACACAGACUGUUGGGUUUUCAAGACUAAUCACUUCCCCAGAGCUGUGUGUUGUCAGUUUCCCCUCCAGACCCCAAGUGGACAUUCGUCUCUCGCUGUGGCUGUGUUGACCGACGGCCCAGCUUCUUCCGAUGGUGCUCCCUGGCAGAGUUCCUCUGACUUCUAAGGCCAACGACUGUUUAUUGAGCUCUUUGCUGUCCCACACAGAAGCCAGGAUCCUCGUGUGGCAAAGGAAGCUUUGGAACGCUGCUAGUGUGAAAUGAGACUGCGGUCUGGAAACCUGGCAAGCCCUUGCCUUGGUGAGGUGUCCUAGCACUUCCACGUGGCACCCAGAAUUCAGAAAUGGAGAGCUGCACCAAUGCCACCGAGCAAGGAGCGAGGCACCUGUCCCCCGAGCGCCCCGCCCCUGCCACACCAUCCACAGCUUAUGGGAAAAACGGAGUGGUUGAAGAUUCAAAGCCUUCGUGGGGAAUCUGAUGAAAUGCUGAACCCUCGUUCCUCAAAAUACACGCUGGAAAAUAGUACCUCCACGGCGUCCCCAAAGAUCCACGUCUGUCUUGAGACCCUCCGCGAUGGCCCCACGCAGAUGUCAUGCCUACGUUGCAAAGCAGUGAGAAUCACAUGGAGAAUGAUUUUUUUUUUUUUUCAAAUGCCUCCUAGGAACAAAUUGGUAACCUUGCUCACCUCUCUUUUGCCUCAAGUCUCUUUUUUUUUUUUUUUUCCCUUGGUCACACCUGCGCAUGGAACCCGCGCCACAGCAACGACCUGAGCUGCUGCAGUGACAGUGCUGGAUCCUUCACCUGCUGCCCACAAGAGCUCUCUAGUCUCCACCCUUACAACUCGCUUUCCCAAGCUUCUGGCAUUUUCUUACAUUAAAGUUACAAAUCAGCUGGAUGGGCGUUCCAGAUGCAACAGCCAUUCAGCCACGUCUGUGGCAGAAUUUCACCUCCCCCAUCCUAAGCAGGCCUUUAAAACAAGGCAUCUUACCUUAUCAGGAAAAGUAUCAUCCGUGCUUCCUUAAAUGCCGGGACCGUGAAGUCAGUGACUCCCGGCAGCUCUGUCCACCCCCGCUCUUCUCAUGGUUCACACACCAACCUGUGUGCCUGCUCCUCUGCCCUGGGUAGCAUAUUGGGUUCUGGUUCUCUUCUCUGUAACCGUCUCUUUGGAACAGAGGGUCCGAGUCAGCUUUUCAUCCAUGAUUUGAUGACUCUUCUUCUACAUCUGAGUUAACUUCUACUGUAGUUAACUCCUUUUUUUUUUUU